CCUACGGGUGGCAGCAGUGGGGAAUAUUGCACAAUGGGGGAAACCCUGAUGCAGCGACGCAGCGUGAGUGAAGAAGUAUUUCGGUUUGUAAAGCUCUAUCAGCAGGGAAGAAGCACGACGGUACCUGACUAAGAAGCCGCGGCUAACUACGUGCCAGCAGCCGCGGUAAUACGUAGGGGCCCAGCGUUAUCCGGAUUUACUGGGUGUAAAGGGAGCGUAGACGGCUGUGCAAGUCUGAAGGGAACGCACAGGGCGCAACCCUGGGACUGCGUUGGAAACUGUGGAGCUAGAGUGCUGGAGAGGUAAGUGGAAUGCCUAGUGUAGCGGUGAAAUGCGUAGAUAUUAGGAGGAACACCAGUGGCGAAGGCGGCUUACUGGACAGUAACUGACGUUGAGGCUCGAAAGCGUGGGUAGCAAACAGGAUUAGAUACCCGGGUAGUC
RNAcentral lists this ribosomal RNA (441 nucleotides) under uncultured bacterium. Its description in RNAcentral is "partial 16S ribosomal RNA". It matches the Rfam family "Bacterial small subunit ribosomal RNA", at positions 338 to 795 of the family's 1533-position model. The record is from RNAcentral.